Non-coding RNA from Moniliophthora roreri, 83 nucleotides. Lineage: Eukaryota; Fungi; Basidiomycota; Agaricomycetes; Agaricales; Marasmiaceae. The record is from Rfam.
UGCCCCAUGGCUGAGUUGGUUACAGCGUCCGACUGUUAUUUAUAAUAAUCGGAAGGUCGUGAGUUCGAGCCUCACUGGGGCAG